GAUGGAAUCAGCGUUUGUACAGGUGGACACAGUAAAGUCGCUUGCCUUCCCCAAUGUGAGUGGGCGUCAUCCAGUCCGUUGGGGGCCUGAAUAAAACAAAAGGCAGAAGUGGCAUGAUCGGCUCACUGCAACCUCCGCCUCACGGGUUCAAGCGAUUCUCCUGCCUCAGCCUCCCGCGUAGCUGGGACUACAGAUGCAUGCCACCACGCCCAGCUAAUAUUUUAAUUUUUAGUAGAGAUGGGGUUUCACCAUGUUGGCCAGGAUGGUCUUAAUCUCGUGACCUCGUGAUCUGC
RNAcentral lists this long non-coding RNA (293 nucleotides) under Pan troglodytes (chimpanzee). RNAcentral's name for it is "long non-coding RNA NONPTRT004782". Lineage: Eukaryota; Metazoa; Chordata; Mammalia; Primates; Hominidae. The record is from RNAcentral.